This 389-nucleotide ribosomal RNA is filed under the name uncultured bacterium. Its description in RNAcentral is "bacterial SSU rRNA". It matches the Rfam family "Bacterial small subunit ribosomal RNA", at positions 95 to 507 of the family's 1533-position model. The record is from RNAcentral.
UUGGCGGACGGGUGAGUAACACGUUGGUACCUACCCUCUAGUGGGAAGUAAACUUUACCGUAGAAAAUACGAGGCUAAUACCGCAUAAUAUCUACGGAUUAAAGACUUUAUUGCGCUAGAGGAGGGGCCGUCGCGUCUGAUUAGCUUGUUGGUGAGGUAAAAGCUCACCAAGGCGACGAUCAGUAGCUGGAUCGAGAGGUUGACCAGCCACACUGGGACUGAGAUACGGCCCAGACUCCUACGGGAGGCAGCAGUAAGGAAUCUUCCACAAUGGGCGAAAGCCUGAUGGAGCAAUGCCGCGUGCAGGAUGACGGCCUUCGGGUUGUAAACUGCUUUUAUAUGGGAAGAUUAUGACGGUACCAUAUGAAUAAGGACCGGCUAACUACGUG